AGGAGCCAAACCGCGCCAGGCUUUUUGUGCGUGGUGCAAAGGCUGCUGGGAUGGGCUUGGAGGGCCCACAGUUAUGGAUGCGAGCUGCGAGGAUUUUGCAGUGUCUCCUUUACCAGAUGUUGGCUGGGCACGUUAUUAAUAGUUUUCAACGUGUUUACGUUACGGCUUCCAAAAAUCUUAGUGAGUUUUCUCUGCGCCCUCCCUCUUAGCGCCGCCUUUCCAUGCCCACCGUCCGUGACUGUCCCCCUAUCUAGCUUACCUCCGAAGAAGCUCCGGAGAGGCCAGGCUGGGCAGAGUGAGAGUGCUUUUACAUUUCUCUGACGCCGGUCUGCCAUUGUCCCCAGCCUUGUCUAAUUUGACUUUACUGGUUCGUCUUGGGCACAGACCGCUCUUUGAGGCUGCACAGCGCCACGGCUGGGCUGUCCUAUGUUUUGCUGUUGAAUUGGAAACCACCUGAUUCUGUAUACACACUUGACUGACCUGUUGGACACUUCAGUUUGUCAGAUGCAGCUAUCAUCCUGAUGUGGUACAGCUUAUGGAAGCUUUGUUCAUUGACUGCCUUCCAUAUUCAUUGCAGCAUCUGAAUGUUUGACUGGGAAAAUCAUGAGGCCCCUGCCAGGUCUCUUGCACUAGCUCUAUCAUGACACUCUAAGGAGGAACUUGGUUUUCAAAGAA
Molecule: long non-coding RNA, 675 nt
Organism: Herpailurus yagouaroundi (jaguarundi)
Lineage: Eukaryota; Metazoa; Chordata; Mammalia; Carnivora; Felidae
Exons: 4
Source: RefSeq, a predicted model, not a curated record